GUCUCAUUCUCUUUCUCUCAGAUUUCUAAAUCUCAUAUUUACAAAAUGAUUAAGGAUCUUGAUAAUUUACAGUAUUUCCUUGGUCUCGAAAUAGUUGGAUCCAAGUCUGGAGUAUCUGUGUGUUAAAGGAAGUACACUUUGGAGUUGUUAGAAGAUUUCGGGAUGCUUGGUUGCAAGCCAACAACUACACCUAUGGACUUUCGCCAGAAACUUGCUGCUGAGUCUAGUGAGUGUUUCCGCGAUCCACAUCUCGAAUAAUGUUGUUUUUCAUAGAAUGACAAAGCAUAUCGAGUUGGAUUGUCAUUUUGUUAGAGAUCAAAUCAAGUCGGGGCUCUUGAAGCCAUUACACGUUUCUACCAAGGAUAGCUUGCGGAUACAUUGACUAAACAUGUGUAUGUGGAGCAAUUUCAGCAGAUUGUUGGCAAGAUGAACGCACAUUCCUUAAUUGCUCCAUCUUGAGGGGAGUAUUAGAUAUAUAGUUUUAUACCGAUUAUUUUUUUGUUUGGUUUAGCAUCGUGGUUUGAGUCGGUUUAGUUACUUCCUUGUUUGGAUACAGAUUUACUAUUUUGAUUUGUUGUUUUCGAUUGUAUAAAGAUUUGCUUCUUCAUUUUUC
This is a long non-coding RNA of Tarenaya hassleriana, 613 nucleotides long. RefSeq lists it as uncharacterized. NCBI's taxonomy places the organism in Eukaryota, Viridiplantae, Streptophyta, Magnoliopsida, Brassicales, Cleomaceae. The record is from RefSeq and is a predicted model, not a curated record. The transcript has 3 exons.